This 284-nucleotide ribosomal RNA is filed under the name uncultured bacterium. Its description in RNAcentral is "partial 16S ribosomal RNA". It matches the Rfam family "Bacterial small subunit ribosomal RNA", at positions 524 to 796 of the family's 1533-position model. The record is from RNAcentral.
UACGUAGGUGGCAAGCGUUAUCCGGAAUUAUUGGGCGUAAAAGCGCGCGUAGGCGGUUUUUUUUUAAGUCUGAUGUGAAAAGCCCACGGCUCAACCGUGGAGGGUCAUUGGAAACUGGAAAAACUUGAGUGCAGAAGAGGAAAAGUGGAAUUCCAUGUGUAGCGGUGAAAAUGCGCAGAGAUAUGGAGGAACACCAGUGGCGAAAGGCGACUUUUCUGGUCUGUAACUGACGCUGAUGUGCGAAAGCGUGGGGAUCAAAACAGGAUUAGAUACCCCGGUAGUCC